Aedes aegypti (yellow fever mosquito) is the source of this 2089-nucleotide long non-coding RNA. RefSeq lists it as uncharacterized. NCBI's taxonomy places the organism in Eukaryota, Metazoa, Arthropoda, Insecta, Diptera, Culicidae. The record is from RefSeq and is a predicted model, not a curated record. The transcript has 3 exons.
ACAUCAUGAUGCUCAAUCUUGUGUUCAAUAUCAUUCCCCUAUAUGCAUAUGCACGCAAUGCGCUGAUAAUAUCGAGACAAACAUUUCUAAAGGUCCUAACUAACAUUUUUACUCAAAUUGAGUUAUCACUAUUUUCCAAAUCCUCAGCAUAAAAUAUAACGAUUUUCAUUUAAAAGUUAACUUUUUUUUAUUUAUUAACCUUAAAAUUCGAAAAGAACAAAACGACCCAACUGCAUUAUCGAUAAUAUCGACCAGCUCUAUUGAUGGGACUUUUUGCUCGCCGAAGGUCUCAUCUGUCAUUUUCGAUUUUUGUUUACAAAAUUGCACAUGGGACCUUUGGCAUGCAAGCGAGCUCUCACAGUAAUUUUGAAACUAUUUUGAGUUAAAUUAAUAAAAAUGGAUCCUACACAAGACCAAUUCCGGAUGUUCAUACAAGCAGCAUCAUGUCGAAGCCAAAGAUCCGAUGGCAGCAGUCACUAUGGUAGUCAACCUACACCUCCGCAGAUAGAUGAUUCGUGCGAUGAAAAAUUCAAGCUACGGGAGAGUUGCAAAUGCCGAACCUGCACCUUCAAAGAAGGAUAAUUCAGUUUUUAAGCUCUCUAAGGGCCGAUUUCUUCACCUUCGCUUAAGUCGUAAACCACGUUUACCCAUACGAUUAAACCAGGUUUAAGGCCUAAGCGGUGGUGAAGAAACCGCUUAUAAGAGGAAAAGCGCUGAAUCGCCACGGAGCUGGAAGAAGCGCACUAGAACUUUUCAAAAUGGUACGGAGACUCUACCGAAGCAGCAUGCUUGAAAUUAACUGCAGGACAGGUCAACAAUCCUUGCAAAAACAGCAGCAUUCAUCGUGUUCCGUUUCAUGAGAUGAAAAUGUCAAGCUACGGGAAUGUUGCAAAUGCCCGUACAACGGAUUGGAUUUUGCAACAGAAUCACGCAAAGUACGACAGAUGUAGGUUAACAGAUUUAUCCAACACUCGAGUCAAAAGCAGCAAUCUCUCCUCUACAGUAGCCACGCCACCCAUAUAUCGAUCUUUGAAGUCUCACUCUGCAUCCAUCAAAGGAAAUGAUAAAUCACUGAGAAAACUGAUCAGUGAUUCAACGGGUACAGAAGAAAUGAUCGAUCUUGAUUCGAUUCCCAGUUACUGUAAAGAAAAUGUCGUUAAAGCAAGUCAUCAGCAGUAUCGAAAAAGCGUUAUUGAAGAAAGAGAGCAGAUCAGCCCAAGCCUGGCUUCUACAAAAUGCAAAGAACAAAUUAUAAUUUCAUUGGAUCAUCCAUACAUUAAGGUGUUCGAACUCUUAGUGUCACCCUCCAUCAUGCUCAAAGAUGCGAGUACAAGUCUAAUGUCUUCUGCGAGGUCUGUUGAUUGCAAUCUUCUUUAAAGUAUGCAAAAAAAACUGUAUGUUCAGACUUGAAGUAGAUUGAAUAUUAUCCCUCAAAUGCUUAUAUUUUGACAGAUUCGAGAAUUUCGACUACCACCAGUCUUCAACAGUAUCGUACACUCAUGUGCACUGGAUAAGUUCUCCUUUUGUAAUAUUCAUCCCAUCCUCUUUCCCGCAUUAUUAUCUUAAAGCGUGUAUGAGCAAUAUCAUAGACUGUACACUGCAUGCCUUUGAUACAAAAGAAAAAAGAAAAUCUACCAAAAAAUCAUAUUUUUUUUUUUUUUUUUUGAAUACCUCACUAUUGCCCAAUAAUUUGAAUAAUAUUUUACUCUAGUUGACGUAAAUUUGAUUUGAAUCCAUUAUUCUUUACAAACUUAAUCAACAUUUACCAGUUUUUAUUGAGUUUUACAAAUGUCCCAAGUAACAAAGGUAUUUUCAUAAAGACCCAUUUGAUAGGUCCCAAUUGACAAUAAAAGUGCAAAAGGUCUCAUGUGAUAAAAAUAUCCAAAAAUAACGAAAACAUGUAGUUUUCCGCAGAACGAACAUCAUUUUUGAAUUUUUGAGCUUUUUUCACGUUUAGAAAUGAAGUUCAAUGUCUUAUUUUAUGUUUCUAUUCUGAUUGGCAUUUGAUUUUCAUCACGAUUUUUUCGAAGCUUAUUUUCUCCGAUAAAGGCAAAAGUCUGAUGGGACCUUUUGAAAUGUUCGUCUCGAU